RNAcentral lists this long non-coding RNA (1418 nucleotides) under Struthio camelus australis. Its description in RNAcentral is "lncRNA (ENSSCUG00000006624.1)". Lineage: Eukaryota; Metazoa; Chordata; Aves; Struthioniformes; Struthionidae. The record is from RNAcentral.
CUGACUUACAAGUAAUUAGCAUUGUUUUUUUUCAGCUGAUUUCUCUUUUACAUCUCCUGGCAGACAUCAUGCAAAGAGUAGCUUGAGAAAAAAGAUAUGUUUGCAAUUUGACACAAGCGUAGCUUGCCAAGAGAGGUCACUGUGGCAUCCUCUGUGGAUACAUUCACAAAGACAUGAGAUAACACACUCGGAGUGGGAAGUGUGAGGGGACUGCUGCCUGGUGCAUAGAGUCUGGAUCUCGUAAGGGACUGUUAGCCCCAGAAGAGAAGAAAACCCAGCACUCCCCUAAUCUUCGGAAUUACCAUAACAUUAUGAGGCUAUUAAACAAAGCUGCCUAACCUUACACUCAUCCAUCAACCUUGAAUUAUUAAGAGAAUAACUGCAGAGCAUUUACAAGUGGAUGGGAUGGAGUCCUGGCUGCUUUUCAAGAACACAGAGUCAGUGCUACAAAAACUUUGCAAGAUGGUAAUUUUUCUUGUGCUGGCUGUUCCUUACUCUGGGCCUGAAAGAAAGAAUGGUUUCUUGAAUUUAAGGCUUUGGGAUAUGCUGAAGAGAAGGAAAGAGUUUUCUUCAUUCCCCAUCCAGUUAAGUAUAAUGAAACAGAAGAGUUUCUAUGUAAGGAAGGGGUCAGAAUGAGUACAAACAGCUGAGGGUUUAUGCAAUAUGACUUUAUCAAGGAUAGGUUUAAAAAUCACUGUCAAAAGUGUAUCAGGAUGAAGCGAAGAUAAAAUGGAUCAUACCAAAGGACAUUUUUCUCACUGAUUGAAAGAUAGAGGUUGUGAUGGAGCGGAGCUGCAAUGUAAUAAUCUAAGAAUACGGUCAGCAAUUUAGGGUGUGCACAAAGAUAUCUAAGCCAGUGCUGCACAAUUUACUCCCACAGCUGGAAGAGCUGGGAAACAGCGCAGCGACUCCAUGCAGGCCAGCACUGAAACAGAAGCAAUAUAGCCCUGCAUGCUCUGCCAGCUGAACAUGAUUAUUCUGCCUCUCAGUCCCACUUGGCAUAUCUGCAUGAUACUUUACUGUGCUGUGUGGACUUGCCGGACGAGCUCAAUGCUAGCUUGGGGAUCUCUGCACCAUGGUCUCUGCAAUGAAAAUGUACCCUUGGAAAUGAAGCUAAUCUGUUUGACUUAUAGAAGGGUAGGACAAUGCUUGCUGGCUAGCUGGCAUUGCUCUAAUUAAGCAGGGCUGUGGGAAAAAGAAAAAUGCCAGGCUGUACAGUGACUUUCCAGACAAGAAUAUCCCAGAAAGCACUGAAAAGCUGGACCUUCUGAGCAUCCUAUAUUCUGUUAAGUGAAAAGCUUCAGGCUCUAUUUUGCUAUUUUAUAUGCUUGAAAAUCCAAACACCAGCAAACGGUUAAGAAGUUGUUCUCAAGAGAGAGCAGUCAGUUAUCAGAAGCUGCCACUAGGCCCAGGGUGAC